UUCUGGUCGAGCAAAAGGGGAGCAAGGGGGAUGAACCCUAGUUUAACAAAAUUCACAAGAAUCAAGUGAAAUCUUGAGAAAAUUGAAAGUAUAAACAACGAAUUCUAAGCUCCUACAUCUGUUCUUCGAAUUGGCAUAAAGGAAGAAGGUCCAAGCUCUAAGAAGUCGGAAGGCCCUCAGGAUCGAGGUAAAUCCUCACUUUAGGCGAUCUGGAGAUUGGAGCGAGCACAUGUCCAUAUCUUGUUAUACCGAACGCUUCCGCUAGCUUAUUCGCAUCUUUUGGUCCAUGACUUGUUAUUUUGUCUAACUUAGUUAGUAGUCGUACAUGUGUAAUACUUGUUGACUUGUUUUUAGUAGUUUUUAUAUCAAACGGUUCGUAGAAUGUUA
This is a long non-coding RNA of Helianthus annuus (common sunflower), 387 nucleotides long. RefSeq lists it as uncharacterized. The transcript has 3 exons. Lineage: Eukaryota; Viridiplantae; Streptophyta; Magnoliopsida; Asterales; Asteraceae. The record is from RefSeq and is a predicted model, not a curated record.